RNAcentral lists this long non-coding RNA (454 nucleotides) under Mytilus galloprovincialis (Mediterranean mussel). The record is from RNAcentral. Lineage: Eukaryota; Metazoa; Mollusca; Bivalvia; Mytilida; Mytilidae.
GUUUUGAAUUUAUAUUCGGAACUCCUCUCGAUUGUUCUUAUCAAUUGAAGAACACAAACGUUUACCAAACGUCCCGAACAUUAUUUUGGUAAUUACCAAUUCCGGUUUUGGUAAUUUAGGUAUUUUACCUAAAUGGUAAAUGGUAAACCAUUUCGGUAAAUGGUAAACCAUUUCGGUAAAUGGUUUACCAAAGUAUAAAUACAUUGGAGCAAGCCAAAAAGGCUUCAGUACGACUUUACCCUGGGCAAGUGACACACGCUAAUUCCAAGCGAUUAAGUAAUAACCAGACUUUUUCUGUAGAAUGUUGGCUUGUUAGUUCCAUAACAAGUUGUAUUUAGAGAAUAACUUCUCGAGAGAAACGUUAUCUUUUGACAUUGAAUUUCCGUUACCAUUUGCCGAUUACCAAACUAUCUUGUUCGUAAACUUUCUAGGUAUUUAUGUAUUAUAGUUCCGC